UCGAGGAUCUUCGGCAAUGGGCGCAAGCCUGACCGAGCGACGCCGCGUGAGCGAUGAAGGCCUUCGGGUCGUAAAGCUCUGUCGGGGGGGAGAAAGGGGCAACCUUGAUCGACCCCCGGAGGAAGCACGGGCUAAGUUCGUGCCAGCAGCCGCGGUAAGACGAACCGUGCGAACGUUAUUCGGAAUCACUGGGCUUAAAGGGCGCGUAGGCGGGCCUCCAAGUCAGGGGUGAAAGCCCACGGCUCAACCGUGGAAGUGCCUUUGAUACUGGGGGCCUCGAGGGGUGCAGGGGCAUGCGGAACUUCGGGUGGAGCGGUGAAAUGCGUAGAUAUCCGAAGGAACACCGGUGGCGAAAGCGGCGUGCUGGACACCUACUGACGCUGAGGCGCGAAAGCCAGGGGAGCGAACG
RNAcentral lists this ribosomal RNA (409 nucleotides) under uncultured Planctomycetaceae bacterium. RNAcentral's name for it is "partial 16S ribosomal RNA". It matches the Rfam family "Bacterial small subunit ribosomal RNA", at positions 355 to 774 of the family's 1533-position model. Lineage: Bacteria; Pseudomonadati; Planctomycetota; Planctomycetia; Planctomycetales; Planctomycetaceae. The record is from RNAcentral.